GAUGAACGCUAGCUACAGGCUUAACACAUGCAAGUCGAGGGGCGGCGCAGUGUAGCAAUACAUGGGCGGCGACCGGCGCACGGGUGCGUAACGCGUAUCCAACCUUCCCGUUACUCAGGGAUAGCCUUCCGAAAGGGAGAUUAAUACCUGAUGGUGUUUGAAAUUCGCAUGUUCUUCAAACUAAAGAUUUAUCGGUAACGGAUAGGGAUGCGUGACAUUAGAUAGUAGGUGGGGUAACGGCCCACCUAGUCUACGAUGUCUAGGGGUUCUGAGAGGAAGGUCCCCCACACUGGAACUGAGACACGGUCCAGACUCCUACGGGAGGCAGCAGUGAGGAAUAUUGGUCAAUGGUCGGAAGACUGAACCAGCCAAGUAGCGUGAAGGAUGAAGGUUCUAUGGAUUGUAAACUCUUUUAUACGGGAAUAAAACCUCCCACGUGUGGGAGCUUGUAUGUACCGUAUGAAUAAGCAUCGGCUAACUCCGUGCCAGCAGCC
Molecule: ribosomal RNA, 494 nt
Filed under: uncultured bacterium
Lineage: Bacteria
Description: bacterial SSU rRNA
Rfam family: Bacterial small subunit ribosomal RNA
Source: RNAcentral